GGGGCACUCUAAGGUGACUGCCGGCUAAAAGUCGGAGGAAGGUGGGGGAUGACGUCAAAUCAUCAUGCCCCUUAUGACCUGGGCUACACACGUGCUACAAUGGGCGGUACAAAGGGUCGCGAACCCGCGAGGGGGAGCCAAUCCCAAAAAGCCGCUCUCAGUUCGGAUUGCAGGCUGCAACUCGCCUGCAUGAAGCCGGAAUCGCUAGUAAUCGCGGAUCAGCAUGCCCGCGGUCCGAAUACGUUCCGGCCUU
Molecule: ribosomal RNA, 253 nt
Filed under: uncultured Anoxybacillus sp.
Lineage: Bacteria; Bacillati; Bacillota; Bacilli; Caryophanales; Anoxybacillaceae
Description: partial 16S ribosomal RNA
Rfam family: Bacterial small subunit ribosomal RNA
Source: RNAcentral